GGGCGGAUGUAGCCAAGUGGAUCAAGGCAGGG
This 32-nucleotide transfer RNA is filed under the name Eremospatha macrocarpa. Its description in RNAcentral is "partial tRNA-His". The record is from RNAcentral. Lineage: Eukaryota; Viridiplantae; Streptophyta; Magnoliopsida; Arecales; Arecaceae.